UGAAAGGAGGAAGAAGAAUCUCAAGACUUGCUACGAUUUGAAACUCAAGAUCUUGAUGACCAAGUCUUGCAUGCCCAUAUACAAAAUGGAUACAUAUAUUUACAAAUGUCAAAGCAUGGUGUUGCUCCAUUCAGAGUGAGAUGGAAAGGAGGGGUUUAAGCGUGAAGUAGUGAAGGGAGAGAAGCCUUGUCCAAUGACGUGUCUGUGAAAUGAACAUUCCAACUGGAGCAACGCUGAAUUGCUUCUAUGAGAUCGACAACAUUAGGCUGCCUUGUAAUUCCCCCAUUCACCUCAAGAUCAUUUGUGUUGUGCAGAAAAAUGCCACAUGAGAAGUUUAUUUCUGGCAGGCAAGGAUGAGAGAUCCUAAAGAUUCUUACCAGAGGCAUUUCAAAUGCCAUAAAGUCUCCAAGAGGUUUCUUUGAAACAAACACCAUAAACAUAUUUGACAGGUAGAUGGUACCCUUGGCUUUUACUUUACCUCUAGAGACACGAACUCGCCAAGUUAGAAUACUACUAUGGAAUCAAAACCCGAACAAAAUUGCACUUUAGCGCUUCAAGCCUACAAGUAUAAUGCGAAGCUUAUAAUAACUCUUUCCUUUUCUAUUAUUGUUGUUGGCGCAUUGAUUGCCACUAGAAGUUCAAUGAGUUUGAAUUUUUGUUUUUUUUAGGACAUUACCAUUGGUUGGUUAUCCAUGUAAAAAAACAAAUGCCACAAAAAAGCAUUUGCAUGCCAAAAGCCAAAAUCGUAUUUGAAGUAUAGAAAAUUGAAUUUCUUGUCCACCAUAUUCAAGCUUUAUACAUAUUCAUUAUCGAAUAUGUGAUAGUACAAACUAGUGGUAAACAUCACAAUAGGAAGAGGUCACAAGCAAUCUUCAUAUACAACAUGCUAACAAGUUUAUAGUUGUUAGCUAACAAUUUAACCACUUGUUUGAAAAUUCCAGUCAAUUUCACCGAAUAGUAGGAGAAGGCCACUGUUCAGGUUUCUUUGUUUUACUUACUGCAACAAGUAAAAAUGAUACCAUAAUUGCUUAUCAAGUGAAAAUGACAAAAACUUGAUAUAAUAUGAAGUAACUCAACUCCCCAAAAUAAAUGUUUCAGAAACCAGCAUGAUUCUGCCACAUAAAAUGAAGGGGAAUGCAUCGCCUUCAUGUCACUUCUUGGCACUACCAAGCAUUUCCACACUUACCUAUAUAUCUCCAAUAUCUCCUCCAUGCUUGCCAAGCAUUUUGCACAUGCACCCCAUGAUUUUUCAUGCAUUUCUCAGGGUAAAACAUUUAAAGUAUUCAUCAGAGUUCUCCACAGAAUUUUUGGCACACAUCUAAAUGCUUUCAUUUUCAUAAAGGAUUCGCUUCUGCUCUUUCCUACAAUCACUUAGUGCAUAACAUCCGGAUCCUCCGUAGUAAUCAGAAACUCUUUUUGUCGAUGGCACUCACGCACAAGUUCCACCACAACUCAAAACUGUCACUGCAGUGUCAUUUAUGCUGCCACUCCCCAUACUCUCUCACCUUUCACUCAUUGGCGUCUAAAACUCUCACCCAAGAGACUCAUAAACAUGAUCAAUCAACAACAAAAUGUAGACCUAGCUUUACAAUUCUUUGACCAUGCUGCGAAAUAUCACCCCAAUUUCUUUCAUAAUCCUGAUACUUAUCAUAUGAUCAUAGAGAAAUUUGCCAUGGUUAGGGAUUUGAAUUCUAUGGAAAUUAUACUCAAAGCGUUAAAGGAUUCCAGAAUUUCAGUGGAAUAACAUUCAUAGAUGUUAUUCCAAACUAGGGCUUUGCAAACAAGCCCAAGUUGGCCCUUCAAUCCUUUCUCAGGAUAAAUAAGUUUGGGAUAAACAAGCCAGUUCUUUUAAUACUCUUUUGAAUGCAAUGAUUCAGACCAAAUGCUUGAUUUGGUUAAUUAUAUGUAUUGUAUAGGAAUUGCAGGAAAUUUGGGAUAUUUCCAAUUGUUUUUACCUGUAAUAUUCUAACUAAGGCCUUGCAUUAAAUGAACGAUUUGAAAUCAGCUUUCUAGGUUUUGAAGGAGAUGCCAAGCUAGGGUUUUUUUUCCAAUAGAGAGGGAGAGUGAGAGAGAAAGGAUUGAGAUGAGGAAGGGAAAAGGGGAGGGAUGGCGCCACUUUCUUUCUGGCAGCAUUUCAAUUUUGGUUUCCCUCUCUCCAUGAUUGUUGUGCUAAAUUACAUCAAAUAUGGGGAACUGUUGAUUUUAGAAAUUUGGUGAUUACUGUGUUAAAUUAUGUCAAACAUGUGAAUCCAUUGAUCUUAGGGUUUCCUUCUCUUUCUCUCUCUCGCUUCUAUAUUCCCUACUCCAAAAAUGUCUAAAGUGCCAUUCUCGUGAAUUAGAAAUUGAUUUGAAACUUUUUAAUGUCGAUUUCGGUAACAAUUUCAGCCGUAUAAAAAACCUCACACUAAAAGAUCUUUUUACUCCUGCAGGAGUACUCUUUCCAUGUAGUCCCCCAAGCAAAACUCACACUAGAUCCUAAAUUUUGGGAUGUUAUAUCUAGAACCUAGCAACAAACCUCAAACAAACAACAACUUGACUCUCACUUGCUAUGUGCUUUAAAAAAUGGCACAUCCAAUUUUUUUGAGCAAAUGCUCUAGAUAUUUAGAAACUCAAAAUCCAGAUUUUUUUUUCUUAAAAAAUAAUCAUCUAGUUAUAACUAGUUGGAUCCCGAAAUUUUAAAUAAAAAAAUUUAGGGGUUAGAAUUUUACCCAAAGGAGUAAAUGUGUAAUAAGUUCAUGAGGGGGCAUAGUAUAUGCGUGGGUUUUUUAUAGUAAGAAAUAUCCAAAAAGCUAUAAAAAAUCUCUAAAUAAUAUUUAUUUUGUUUUGAAUGUUGACAAGUACUCCUCAAGGACACAGUUACUAUGCGGGCAUGCCCACAUUAAUUGGACAGUAGGAUGUUUGGUAAAAAGAAUACCUGUAAAGGUCCACAAAGCUAAAACGUUUGGUCAAACAAGUUGUUUAAUCUCCACUGGCAAGGGAGUUAUGGCCUACAAUAAUGAAGUUUGAUGCCCCAAUUUCUAUGGAAUAAUUGGAGAUCAAUGAGGAGAGCUUGUGUGUAUCAGCCCCGAGUAUGUAAAAAGUGUUUCCCUUGGAUGAUUUCGAAAAGUUCCUCUCGUACCUUCCUGCUUCCCCCAUCAAAGUUUCCUUUAACAAUUCCAUUGGAUGUGGGCAACCAGUGAGAAGAUUUUGGUGGGUGGGCUGGAGUGGAAGAGGAUUGGGCAAGGAUCUGACAACUUGUUCCAAUUGCGUAGACAGGCCUAUCUUGAAACUGCAGAAUAUAGGCUAAAUUCCUCGAAAGGGAGGGCCUAAUAAGUAAUGGAGAUGUGACUGCUUAAGGUUGUUUUUCAAAGAUAGGCCCCAUUGAAAAUUUUGCUAUUUUCUUUGAGCCAUAUGGACGGACUCAUGUCUAGGAUUGUCAUCUUCCAGAGGAGUAGUCCCAUGGUUGGAAGAACAGGAGAGGCACAAUUGUUUAAGGCUAUCCACCGAAACAAAAGGUGAUCCAAUGCCAGCCCAAAUACUCAAGGCUGUCUUAUAGUGAAUAAGUAGAUUCCUGACUGUCUCCUGGCUCCUUGCACAUGGUGCAUCAAUUUGGUUGUGAAAGGCCUCUGUUUUGGACAUGAUCAAGUGUAAGGACCUUUUUCAAGACUGCAAGCAACUCAAAUGCAUCUACUUAUUCACUAUAACCCAAAUGCAAGCAACCUUGGAUAGUGCUGGAUGAAAUGGCCCCAAUGUUCAGCUAAAAAGGUCGUGAAUUCAAGAGCUUCCUCCUCGUUUUACCAUUUUCAUGACUGCAAACAACCCAAAUGCCUGGACCUUGGAUAGUGCUGGAUGAAAUGGCCCCUAUGUUCAGCUAAAAAGGCUGCGAAUUCAAGAGCUUCCUCCUCGUUUUAGUUUUGGUGAGAAGUUGCUCUCCGCACCUGUUAACCCCCAAAAGUUUCACAACACCAGCAAUAAUGCGUCUUAUUGUGACGCAAUUUGGAGCCAAAGAAAUCCUGAUUCCAAAGUGAGUUUCAUCCAGAAAUCUCUCCAUAAAGGAAUGUGAUCACCUGAUCUUGCUUCGAAGCGGAAAUGGAGAAUUCCUGGUGGGCUACUAAGAUGCCAACAUGAGCACUCCAUGUCAUAUUUAUGCUGAAUGACCUUUCGCCAAAAACGGGACCGUUUAAGAAUGCAGUCCCAUUUCACAGGAAGUUUCUCAUCAGGCCCUUGAGUUUGUUGAUUAUACUCAUAGGCAUUAUAAUUAUGGACAUGUGAAGAAUCAGAAUACUAUAUAUAGUGGCUUUGACCUAUAUAAUUUCAUAAUUCUUCUGCCCAUGGACAGCUGCACGAUUUCCAAAUGCUUUUCUUCUUUAAAACUUUUAUACAACUUCAUCCCUCUGUGCCUUUCUUGGUGUGUGUCGGCAUAGUGGAAGGCAUUGGUAUUUGUUAGGCAGGGCAUCUGUACCACACCCGUGCGGUGUGCAAAGGUUUCUAUUGCCCAAUAGAAAGAAAGAAUACUUGUGCUUUGCUUUUUAUUUUAUUUUUUUCUACUAUUAGCAGGAGACCUUAUUUGGGAUCUGAGAAUAGCUGCUGCAACUUAUCUAAAGAACUUUCUCAAAGCCAAUGAAGAAGGUCCUUCUUUUUCCUAAGUCUGUCAAUACGUCAGAAAUUCCCUUGUGCAGGUCUUCCUUCAAGUAGAACCAAGGGUAGUAGAAGCGGUAAAUAUUUUCCUGAAUAGGAUGAUCACAUGUAACAUAUUUGAUUCCAUCACAGUAAGUAAAGUUCAGCACAUUGAAUUUAGACUAGCAAUAGCUUUAGGUCUAAAAAAUAAACAUGUUUUGUGUACAAUUAUCCUUAUUUAGUUUUAUGAUGGCUUUAUCUCUCAAUAAAUUUUGAAUAUGUCAACCCUUCUUCAUGAACUCUUGAAGGGUGAGCUAAUUAUAUGUAGAACCCUUUUUGCUGAUUUGCAAUAUGAUUAUAUUAUGAAAGAAAGUGGUACUUGAGCAUUUCUCAUGGUCUACUUUGAAAUCCUUCUUUUUUUAAUCAUCUCAUGCAUAAUAGGUAUCCUUCCAAUUUCCACUAGUUCAAGAAAAUGUUUAUAUAGGUGUAUCCUUUUCAUUCUACUGCUAUUGCUACAUUUCUUUCUAUAGCUUUUGAAUUUAUACUCUAUCUUAUGGCUCAUCUGUGUGAUUCAUCACAUAGGAAUAUUUGUUGAGGUGUGUUUCAACUUGGAACCUAAUGCAUAUGGGAAUUGGGUUCCUCACUUCACUAAUAAGGAUUAACAUGUCACUUCAUGUGAAUUGUUGUUUUACGUAAACUUGACAUCACUUUAAGAUGAAUCGUCUCGAGGCACCUUCUAAAUCAUUUUUAGCAGCCUUUGUACUUGCAUCACAUAGAACUCACAUGACAUGAAAAUUCUGCUAGCUCCCCAAAACAAAGGAACACAGUAAUUAGGUCUGAAUUGUUUUAGUAUUCAUGCAGGUUGAACUGGACAAGAUAUUGUGUAUCAUUUUUGUCCACGACGCCCUUUUGUAGGGAUUGUACUUUCUGUUCAAAUUUAGUUAUCUCAUGCACUAUUUGUGAAAUUUAUUUAUGUUUGGAGCUCAAUUUUACCGAACUUGUACCUGAAUUGGGGUAUGUUAUCCAAACCGGCAAUCUUUUCGAGAGAGGUGGAAGACCCUAAACAGCCUCACUAUUCUUCAAGCCACUGUCAAGCCAUUCCAGAAUGUCUUCUGAAUUAGGGAAUGGGAGGAAGGGGUUGUGGUCAAGAGUCAAGAGGAAGGUAGAUAGUGAUAGUGGAGUUGACUGCAUGGUUGCUUUAAAAAUUUCAAGCCUGUUCAUGGAAUGAGGUAUUGCUUGCUUGGGUCACCAUGAUAUAAUAUUCAUUUGGUGAGAUCUGAAAUAAGUGGACUGUAAGGAGCCGCCGUGUGUAAGGAAGCCGUCGUGCGUGAGGAAGCGGUCGUGCCUGAGGAAGCUGCCGUGCGCGAGGGAAGCCGCCAUGCGUGAUGGAAGCCGUCGUGCGUGAGGAAGCCGCCGUGCGUGAGGGAUGCCGCCGUGCGCGCAUGGGGAUGCUGUCAUGCGCAUCAUCGCCGUGCGCGUCACCGUCGUGCGCGUUGCUGCAGAGAGUGAAUGUAUAGGGCCGUCCAGGGAAUAUUGGACCUUUUGAAAUUGUGGAGAGAGUUGGAAGCGUGGCAUAUCGAUUUGCCCUACCACCCAAGCUGGCAAAUAUCCACAAUGUCUUUUAUAUAUCUCUGUUAAGGAAGUACCAGCCCGACCCGUCCCACAUUCUGAAGUAUGAACUGAUUCCUAUCAGAGAAGACCUAACCUUCAUCGAGCAGCCAGUUGGGAUACUAGACAGAAGGGUGCAGGUAUUGCGUAAUAAGGAGAUCCCUCUAGUCCGUGUGUUAUGGCAAUACCAUUCAUGAGAAGAGUCGACCAUGGAAUGGGAAGAUGAGAUCCGGGAUAAGUACCCCCAAUUGUUCGAUUAGCAAAAGUAUGAUUUUAAGGACAAAAUCCUUUUAAGGGGGGUUGAUGUAAGGAGCCGUCGUGCAUGAGGAAGCCAUUGUGCAUGCAUGGGGAUGUUGUCGUGUGUGUCACCGUCGUGCGCAACACCGCCGUGCUCAUCACCGUCAUGCGCGACACCGUCGUGCGCAUCACCGCCGUACGUGACACCGCCAUGCGCAUCACCGCCGUGCGUUUCACUGCCGUGCGCGUCACCGCCGUGUGUGUCACUGUCGUGCUCGUCACCGCCGUGUGCGUUGCUGUCGAGAGUGAAUGUAUAGAGCCGUCCAGGGAACUUCUAUGAGUGUCAUGUGGCACUUGUCUGUCACAUGUCUACCACAUGUCUACCACUGUUGCCACUUGUGUGCCCUUGCACCCUUGCAUGCCACCUGCCUGCUGCCUCCCACUCUUUGCUUAUAGACUUAGAACCUCAAGCUUGAAAUCAUCUUUGGAAGCAUGGCCUGUGUGGGGGAAACUUGGAGUCUUUUGGUGCAUAGUGAUAGCUCGCGGGUUAAGACCAGACGGUUGGGUGAUCGCGACUGGCGAUUGAAGACCCGAACUUGACGAGAAGCUCCCUUUUGAUUGUAGGUUUUAGUUGGCAGGUGGCCACAUAGUUGUUUUGUUGUGAAGCUAUGUAUUUUGUUGGGCCUUUAGUACCUUGGACAUAUCUGUAAUAACUUUGGAGCUCUUACGUAUAAAUUUGGUUUUAGUUCGUUCA
Molecule: non-coding RNA, 7195 nt
Organism: Amborella trichopoda
Lineage: Eukaryota; Viridiplantae; Streptophyta; Magnoliopsida; Amborellales; Amborellaceae
Source: RefSeq, a predicted model, not a curated record